Molecule: long non-coding RNA, 269 nt
Filed under: Phoenix dactylifera (date palm)
Lineage: Eukaryota; Viridiplantae; Streptophyta; Magnoliopsida; Arecales; Arecaceae
Description: long non-coding RNA (PDAC_LNC004005)
Source: RNAcentral
AGGGCUGGAGACUUUGAGUUGGAAGGGUAGGAAGUACUAAUUUUGGUUUCAUAUAUUAAUAUUGGCUAAGUUGAUGCAUGCUCUUUUAUGAAUAACUUUUGAAGACAAUCAAUUUAUUAAUGGCAACAAGGAACAUCUUAUUAGAUAAAAAAAUAUUAUUUUUACCACAAAUCAUUUAUUUGGUUAUUAAAGGAUAGACUGAUCACCUUAUUGACUUCAUUUGUCUCUAAAUUAUUAUAAAAUCUAUCUAGACAUGCGGUUGAAGGAGG